UGUGACAGUUAUUUGCAGCCACCCACUAAGCAGGGAUACCACCGGGUAUCAACUCCUAAGGGGGUGCAAAUGGGUAAAAUGUUCCGCCCAGCAAACCUUUGUCCAGUUGAAACUGAGUGCAUCAGCUAGUCCCAAUUACGUACAGUAUGUGUUUUAUUUACUGACAUGGAUUUGAUUUACUGGCAUCCCUACAUGCCAGGGUACCUAGUUAUGUCAUAGGGACACCUGACUGAUUUCUGGAUUGAGGAUCAGGAAAUACAAUGAAGACAAGAAAUAACCACAUUACAGACCAUAUCAUGACUAUUGCUCUAUGUCCAUUUUAUUGGACAGAAAAAAAGACCAGCAUCCGCUGCAUAGCACACAAGCCUGGUCAGCAGACAUUUCUACUUCAGGACCCUGGUGAGGAUCCUGAUGGUGACCUGCGUACAAACAGGACAAGAGAGUACAUUUACUGAAGUGUUUGAUCAGUCAGUUACCCAGGAGCACGUGUAUCAUUCUGCAAUAAAGAACUUAGUGGAUGAUAUCAUUUCAGGGGGGAUGCAGUUACACUCCCAACAGUCAGGAUCCAGGGGGUCGAAAUAUAAUGCUGUCAAAUUUGCAUAUGGUCGAACAGGCAACAUUUACUACGAUGGGCAACAAUUAUGAGCCUGGAGUAAUAAUACUUUGCACCCUUAAAGAUCUAAAGACCAUCAAGGAGCCACGAAGGAGAAAAAAAAUCUUCCCUGGCAGUCCUGAAGAGACCAUUCGUUUACUGAAGAAAGGAAAUAAGCUGCCAAUAAGACCUCAUCCUGCUCCUACGCAGUUUUACAAAUCACCGUAGACCACAUGAGCAAUGACGCAGUGCACACAGGCAAGCUCUACGUGGUAGACCUCGUGGAAUCAGAAUGAGCAUGUCAGAAUAAAAACAGUGGCCAAACCUUAAAAGAAUGUGGAUAUAUCAAUCAGACAGACCCUUCUCGCCCUGCAUAUAUUGCUCCCCAUGGACCCUAUGCCAAGAGAACAUCAUGUGGAGAGGAACCAUGUCUGUGUCCCCAACAAGAUUCUUGAGGACGGCAGAGGAAACAAGUCCUGCUGAGGGACACUCGUUGACCAGAGUCAGUCCAUAAGGACAAUGCUCACAGUUCCAGUAAGACUGGUCGUCUGAGGCACAUGGCAGGUCCUCUGCAUACUGUAAGUUGCUCCUUGUGGUCCCUAUGACAAGAAAACUCUUGGCUACACCUAAGAUCUGUAGUCCAUCUGAAAUGUGUGAAUCGAAGACAGUGAAAAGUUCCACUUGGGCUAAGACAAUCACUUUCUACCACUAACACCAUUGGCCACUUAUCAAAUCAACAUGUUGGCAAUUCAACAUCAUUUGUGAUGUUAGUGGUUUCAUUGAAUCAUUCAUCAUUAUUUCAAAAUAAAAUGUUAUUGUAUCCUG
Pseudophryne corroboree (corroboree frog) is the source of this 1417-nucleotide long non-coding RNA. RefSeq lists it as uncharacterized. The transcript has 2 exons. Lineage: Eukaryota; Metazoa; Chordata; Amphibia; Anura; Myobatrachidae. The record is from RefSeq and is a predicted model, not a curated record.